CUGCUGCCUUCCGUAGGAGUUUGGGCCGUGUCUCAGUCCCAAUGUGGCCGGCCACCCUCUCAGGUCGGCUACUGAUCGUCGCCUUGGUGGGCCUCUACCCCGCCAACCAGCUAAUCAGACGCGGAUCCAUCUCAUACCGCCUCAGCUUUUCACACCGAGACAUGCAUCUCUGUGCGCUUAUGCGGUAUUAGCAGUCAUUUCUAACUGUUACUCCCCUGUAUGAGGCUAGGUUACUCC
This 237-nucleotide ribosomal RNA is filed under the name uncultured bacterium. RNAcentral's name for it is "partial 16S ribosomal RNA". The record is from RNAcentral.